This 73-nucleotide transfer RNA is filed under the name Hydrogenophilus thermoluteolus. It matches the Rfam family "tRNA". From Rfam's summary of the family: Transfer RNA (tRNA) molecules are approximately 80 nucleotides in length. Their secondary structure includes four short double-helical elements and three loops (D, anti-codon, and T loops). Lineage: Bacteria; Pseudomonadati; Pseudomonadota; Hydrogenophilia; Hydrogenophilales; Hydrogenophilaceae. The record is from Rfam by way of RNAcentral.
GUCCCUAUCGUCUAGAGGCCUAGGACACCGCCCUUUCACGGCGGUAACGGGGGUUCGAAUCCCCCUAGGGACG